RNAcentral lists this non-coding RNA (73 nucleotides) under Marinosulfonomonas sp. PRT-SC04. RNAcentral describes it as "Singlet oxygen resistance RNA X". It matches the Rfam family "Singlet oxygen resistance RNA X". Rfam says of the family: SorX (RSs2461)like SorY is a singlet oxygen induced sRNA that counteracts oxidative stress by targeting mRNA for a transporter in Rhodobacter. It also has an impact on resistance against organic hydroperoxides. The record is from Rfam by way of RNAcentral. Lineage: Bacteria; Pseudomonadati; Pseudomonadota; Alphaproteobacteria; Rhodobacterales; Paracoccaceae.
UUCCCCUGCAUGUCGGGGUUAUGACAUGCACCUCCCUGUUGAACUGGCCCGGCCUUUGUGCCGGGUCUUUUUU